UCUUUGCAGAGCUCAGGACUUGUGCAUUAUUUGAGCAGUGUGAGUUCAUUUUAGAUCAAGGUGUAGGUGCAUUCUUCUUCUCCCAGCUUGUGCAUCACUCUCAAUUGAAGGUCUUUCACGAACCCAAAGAAGUCGACAAUUAGGAAUACAACUAAUUGAUGGAUGAGCUUCUUUGUUGGGGUUG
Non-coding RNA from Momordica charantia (bitter melon), 184 nucleotides. Lineage: Eukaryota; Viridiplantae; Streptophyta; Magnoliopsida; Cucurbitales; Cucurbitaceae. The record is from RefSeq and is a predicted model, not a curated record.